Molecule: ribosomal RNA, 253 nt
Filed under: uncultured bacterium
Lineage: Bacteria
Description: partial 16S ribosomal RNA
Rfam family: Bacterial small subunit ribosomal RNA
Source: RNAcentral
GACGAGCCACACGAACGUUAUUCGGAAUUACUGGGCUUAAAGGGUGCGUAGGCGGCGCGGAAAGUUGGGUGUGAAAUCCCUCGGCUCAACCGAGGAACUGCGCCCAAAACUGCCGUGCUCGAGGAAGAUAGAGGUAAGCGGAACUUACGGUGGAGCGGUGAAAUGCGUUGAUAUCGUAAGGAACACCUGUGGCGAAAGCGGCUUACUGGGUCUUUUCUGACGCUGAUGCACGAAAGCUAGGGGAGCAAACGGG